CAGACAAGUUUUUGCUUCAUAGCAGAAACACCUCCCCAAUGAGUCUGUUCACAAGUGACUUGUACUAUCUUGCCAAGUUCUCCAUCACCAGAAGAAAGAGAGGGGCCUGGCUCCAGCUCUCAUAACCGAAAGGUGAAUGGAAGAGCAAUAUGAAAAGGUUGUCCGAGGUCUAUAGGAGAUGAAAAGGAGAUUUGCUUUUCCAGUAUACUCGGAUUAAAUGUAGUUGUUUCCUUUGUAGAUACCCUAAUUUGCUUGGUGCUUCCUAUGAUACCUAGAUUGCAGCUAAACCCUGCUUGGUACAGGAGAAAACACUGGAUUUGGAGGCAUAGAAUUUCAUUUCAUUACACUGCAUCUGUGAUAUUGAAUCGUAAUCUCUCUAGGCCUCUCCUCAUCAUUAGAGGUUCAACUAGUUGACCCAUCUAGUCUGCAGGGACAAAUUAGCACUGUCCUGUAGAUCUGGUUAUGCUUUGCAAAGAUAAGGCUGUCAUUGGACUAUAAUAAUACCUGCUAGUACAGCCUUGUGAUCCGAAUUUACUCUUUUUAAUGAACAGACAUGAAAACAUGGCAGUGAGAAAGGACACACCUAAGCAGCCCGUUUCAGUUUUUAACAGCUCUAAUUAGUGGGUAAAUCUCUAAGGUUCUCUGCACACAGGAAAUGCUCAUAUAUUUGUUGAAGACAGCUGUCCUGUGAAAUAUCAAUUGUACUAAAUUCCACUCGUUCUUUAUUUUCUAGAAUUUCCAACCUUGCAGCCUCUGACAGCAGCAAGGAGAAAUGGUAGUCAUUCUCCCUAACAACCUAGAAAGACUUAACGAGGUGCCUUUUGUAGCUCAGUCUUGUCUGAUUCUUCCUGACCCCCUUUUUUAGCAGUCAUUUCUCGCUCAUUUUAUACAUAAGGGAACAGAGGCAGGGUUUAAUGGCAGGGUCACACAAGUAUCUGAAGCUAUAUUUGAAUUCGGAUCUUUUUGACUAGGUCUGGCACUAGCCACUGUGCCACCUAGCUGCCUAGGGAGAUACUUCAAUAAUCUUUUAAGUUCCAUUAUGUUACUGUAGGAAACUUAAGAAUUGACCUAAAAUCAUGUGGUACCUAAAAUGCAGCUUCAUUGUAAUGGAAUAUUAUAUUGCAAUAAUGAGUGUAAUUUAUAAUUAAUCCACAUGCAGAAAUACUGCAUACCUGCCUCCCCAGUAUGUGCCCUUCCAUUCACCAUAUCUGAAGCCUUAAGAAGUCCAGCACUGAUAGCCUUUUAUAAUCCAACCCGAGCCUACCUUUUAAGGUUUUUUUUUCACAUUUCUAUGUUCUAG
RNAcentral lists this long non-coding RNA (1300 nucleotides) under Sarcophilus harrisii (Tasmanian devil). RNAcentral describes it as "lncRNA (ENSSHAG00000030639.1)". Lineage: Eukaryota; Metazoa; Chordata; Mammalia; Dasyuromorphia; Dasyuridae. The record is from RNAcentral.